CCGACGGUGGAGUAACACGUAUGCAAUCCACCUGUAACAGGGGGAGUAACCCGGCGAAAUACCGGACUAAUACCCACUAAUAUGGGCGCUCCGCAUGGAGAGUUCAUUAAAGAGAGCAAUUUUGGUUACAGACGAGCAUGCGCUCCAUUAGCCAGUUGGCGGGGUAACGGCCCACCAAGGCGACGAUGGAUAGGGGUUCUGAGAGGAAGGUCCCCCACAUUGGAACUGAGACACGGUCCAA
This 241-nucleotide ribosomal RNA is filed under the name uncultured bacterium. RNAcentral's name for it is "partial 16S ribosomal RNA". It matches the Rfam family "Bacterial small subunit ribosomal RNA", at positions 105 to 334 of the family's 1533-position model. The record is from RNAcentral.